Molecule: ribosomal RNA, 591 nt
Filed under: Brevibacterium helvolum
Lineage: Bacteria; Bacillati; Actinomycetota; Actinomycetes; Micrococcales; Brevibacteriaceae
Description: bacterial SSU rRNA
Rfam family: Bacterial small subunit ribosomal RNA
Source: RNAcentral
ACUAUCACACGCCGUAGAUACGGGCUUCGGGUUGUAAACCUCUUUUAGUAGGGAAGAAGCGAAAGUGACGGUACCUGCAGAAAAAGCACCGGCUAACUACGUGCCAGCAGCCGCGGUAAUACGUAGGGUGCAAGCGUUGUCCGGAAUUAUUGGGCGUAAAGAGCUCGUAGGCGGUUUGUCGCGUCUGCUGUGAAAUCCCGAGGCUCAACCUCGGGUCUGCAGUGGGUACGGGCAGACUAGAGUGUGGUAGGGGAGAUUGGAAUUCCUGGUGUAGCGGUGGAAUGCGCAGAUAUCAGGAGGAACACCGAUGGCGAAGGCAGAUCUCUGGGCCAUUACUGACGCUGAGGAGCGAAAGCAUGGGGAGCGAACAGGAUUAGAUACCCUGGUAGUCCAUGCCGUAAACGUUGGGCGCUAGAUGUGGGGACCAUUCCACGGUUUCCGUGUCGUAGCUAACGCAUUAAGCGCCCGGCCUGGGGAGUACGGCCGCAAGGCUAAAACUCAAAGGAAUUGACGGGGGCCCGCACAAGCGGCGGAGCAUGCGGAUUAAUUCGAUGCAACGCGAAGAACCUUACCAAGGCUUACAUAUACCGG